UUCAGGCCCUACGGGGCGCAGCAGGCGCGAAAACUUUACAAUGCAGGAAACUGUGAUAAGGGAACCCCGAGUGCCCGUAUAUGCGGGCUGUCCGGGUGUUUAAAACGCAUCCGAAGAAAGGGCCGGGCAAGACCGGUGCCAGCCGCCGCGGUAAUACCGGCGGCUCGAGUGGUGGCCACUUUUAUUGGGCUUAAAGCGUUCGUAGCUUGAAUAAUAAGUCUCUUGGGAAAUCUGCAGGCUUAACCUGCAGGCGUUUAAGAGAAACUGUUGUUCUAGGAACCGGAAGAGGUGAGAGGUACUCCGGGGGUAGGAGUGAAAUCCUGUAAUCCCCGGGGGACCACCGAUGGCGAAGGCAUCUCACCAGGACGGCUUCGACAGUGAGGAACGAAAGCUGGGGGGAGCGAACCGGAUUAGAUACCCGGGUAGUCCCAGCCGUAAACAAUGCGCGUUAGGUGG
This 456-nucleotide ribosomal RNA is filed under the name Methanoplanus sp. enrichment culture clone CIBANICRA-62. RNAcentral describes it as "bacterial SSU rRNA". It matches the Rfam family "Archaeal small subunit ribosomal RNA", at positions 315 to 774 of the family's 1478-position model. Lineage: Archaea; Methanobacteriati; Methanobacteriota; Methanomicrobia; Methanomicrobiales; Methanomicrobiaceae. The record is from RNAcentral.